UACGAAGGGGCUAGCGCUGCUCGGAAUCACUGGGCGUAAAGCGCACGUAGGCGGACUCUUAAGUCGGUGGUGAAAUCCUGGAGCUCAACUCCAGAACUGCCUUCGAUACUGAGAGUCUUGAGUCCGGGAGAGGUGAGUGGAACUGCGAGUGUAGAGGUGAAAUUCGUAGAUAUUCGCAAGAACACCAGUGGCGAAGGCGGCUCACUGGCCCGGUACUGACGCUGAGGUGCGAAAGCGUGGGGAGCAAACAGG
Molecule: ribosomal RNA, 252 nt
Filed under: uncultured bacterium
Lineage: Bacteria
Description: partial 16S ribosomal RNA
Rfam family: Bacterial small subunit ribosomal RNA
Source: RNAcentral